GGCUCGGGUCUGGUCGUAUUUCUUAUGGGAAAUUUUGGAAUCGCUAGCUCAGCUUUUAGCUCUGUCCAACUUCUUCUGUUCUGGAUACUCAAGCGAGUAGCAAGUGCGCGUCGUGAAACGUUAAAUAAAAGUCUAGAACAGGAGAUAUUAAAAUAUUAGUAGCGUGUUAGUGGCAAAAACCUUGAUUAUUUCUAGUGGGUGCAGUUGUAUCAAAAUACCCAAACUCCAAGCUGCGCUACUGGAUUAAAUUAUAAAAGAAGAAAAAGGUCCACACAGGGCCUUUUUCUUUCUGCCUAAACCUCUAGCGUCUGGCAACCGCCGCCAUUGUGAUUUUGUGGAACCGAUCCAACGAGCCGGUGACCGCGUGUGUCUCGGGACAAAUCUGAGACCCCACCCAGCCAUCCGUCGGCAACCACUCUGUAGCUCAGGGCCCCAGCAACGAAUUGCUCUCGCGGUGCGUGACCGCAAGCGAGACUCUCCUUAACUCCAGCAGUUCUUCAUCUCCAUUGAGCCUGGGUUGCCAGUGAGGAUUAAAAAUCCAGGACUUACGAUCCGCCGAAAUGGUCGUGACUCCAAGGGCCGCAGUAAAGUAGUGUCCACCACGCCAAAUGCCCCAACAUCAGACCUAAGAAAUAACCGCAAGUACUAAUGUGACGUCACUAGUUUUAAGUUAAUGGCCAAAACAAAUAACUCAAAACAAUUAUGUAAAACACAAAAAUUAGCAUGCAAAAUAAUUAUGUAGUUUAAAAGCA
Long non-coding RNA from Armigeres subalbatus, 752 nucleotides. RefSeq lists it as uncharacterized. The record is from RefSeq and is a predicted model, not a curated record. Lineage: Eukaryota; Metazoa; Arthropoda; Insecta; Diptera; Culicidae. The transcript is spliced from 4 exons.